Mustela lutreola (European mink) is the source of this 3384-nucleotide long non-coding RNA. RefSeq lists it as uncharacterized. NCBI's taxonomy places the organism in Eukaryota, Metazoa, Chordata, Mammalia, Carnivora, Mustelidae. The record is from RefSeq and is a predicted model, not a curated record. The transcript has 2 exons.
UUGUGUGAAGUUUCUGCUAACUUGCUUUUCUGUAACUGCUCUGCUGCUUUGCGGGUUGUACCUUGAGAAGUAGGAGCAUGGCCUUCCCCUUGUGUUCCCCUCCAUUCCCCCCAGGCCCCACAUCCUAAGCACGUUCCCUGCUUAAGAGAUGUCCUUGAUUUAUGCUUGUGGUUAACAAAGAAGAGAACUGUUUUGUCCUAGUUUCACAGCCGCCCAGCUACACCCGGACGAUAAGAUAUGGCUAACUGAAAAAUGUAAACUGUGCAGAGCAUACCAGAAAUUGUAACUGUGUAAAGAGGUCACUGUGAUUGUGGCUUUGUACCGAGCCUUUGUCUAAAAAAUGUAUAAAAACCAUAUGCUCCCUUUGAUUAGGGCUCUCAGCCUCUGCCUGAUCUUCGGGUAUGUUGCAGAGCCCCAGCAUGCUGGAACAAUAAAGCCCGUGUUGUUGCAGAAAGAGCUGCCUUGGUGUCGUUCCUCUGCGCCUCCCUAGGUUGAGGUCUUCUCGACCCUAACUUUUGGAGGUUCCACCGAGAUUUGACCCAGCCAACGGGACGCCAGACAGGACGGCCCCAACUUACUCUUUGGGUGAUUGGGUCUACGUCCGCUGACACCAGGUACACAGCCUUGAGCCUCGGUGGAAGUGACCCUACUUGAUCCUGCUGACCACGCCAACUGCUGUCAAGGUCGACAGCAUUGUGGCCUGGAUCCAUGCUAGUCAGCUCAGACCUGCUCCUGCUGAUCAACACCAGAGCGGCACACUCCUGUCCCCUCCUGAGACUAACAGACUUGGGCAACCAGGUGGCACUGACGACCUUCACCAGUCUACAGGCUCUACUCCAAGCGCAGGAAACCGGUGGACUGCCCAUCGGCACCCAACCAACCCCUUCCGCAUCAAGCUGGCCCGUAAGAAUCCCACAACAUGACUCUGUUUCUCGGGCCAGUCCUUUCGCUCCUGGCAGCACUAACUCUGUGCAGCCAACUUCGAAUGAUUUAUAGCAAUCCCCAUGUGCCCCAACAAAUGGCAUGGGAGAUUUCAAAUCCUAUGGGCCAGGUCGUAUGGAAGAUACAUAGGACUCAUACCCCUGGUGCGUGGUGGCCAUCAUUAACCCCUGAUCUUUGCCAGUUAUUCAUGGGGUUAGAUACCUGGGACAUACCAGACCAAGAAAACCAGAAUAAAAUGCCCAUUUGCAUGCCUUACCCUCUUGAUAAGGAGCCCUACUAUGGGUGCUCGACUGCCCAGGUCCGAUGUGCACUUAGCUCCCUAGAUUUUUAUGUUUGUCCUAAGGAUGGGCGGAAGCGAGCCCAAGUUCUAAAAUGUCCAGAAUCUUUCUACUGUAAGGCUUGGGGGUGCGAGAACACAGGAUAUGCCUAUUGGUGACCCUCAUCCUCAUGGGAUUGGAUCCAAGUCCAGAGAAAUAAUACCCAUCACAACAAAAGGGAUCCAAUACCAGCCUGUUGGACUGGAGUAUCAGGAUGUGAGAAGUCGGCACUGUGUAAUGGCUUAAAUAUUACCUUUACACCCGCUGGGAGAGACCCUUCUACUUUAACUCAAUGGUAUAAAGGAAGGACAUGGGGACUGCGGUUAUAUAAAGAGGGUUAUGAUGAUGGUCCAUGGUUUACCAUCCGCUUGCGGACGAUAGAGACUCCUAAACCAGUAGGUCCUAAUCCAGUUCUCAAACCAUCUCGUCCAGCCCCAAUGCCAGGACCCCCUUCGGAGCCCCACUCUCUGCCCACAACUGGCAGCCCCACUUUGGGAACUCUAGCUCCGGAGACCUCUUCUCCCACCUCACCAUCCUCGACCCAAUUCCCUCUAACAUCCCCCGUUACUCAGUCUCCCCCCGGUCCAGCAUUAUUCCACUUAAUAAAGGGGGCCUAUUCUGCCCUGAAUGCUACUCAUAGUGAGCUAACGACCUCCUGCUGGCUCUGCUUAUCAGCUUCCCCUCCCUAUUAUGAAGGUGUAGCCAGUAAUGGAACCAUUAGUUCCACCACGGCCUGUAGUUGGGAUGCAAAACCCGGGUUGACCUUCCCUGAGGUGAGAGGCAAGGGAACCUGCAUCAGGACCGCUCCUACUGCCUUGCAAGAUUUGAAACCAUGGACUCUAAUUCUUCUGAUCCCUAUCUGGCACCUAGCUCUGGCCUAUGGUGGGCCUGUGACACAGGGCUCACCCCUUGCAUCUCUACUGGCAUCUUCAAUGCCUCUGCUCAUUUCUGUGUGAUGGUACAACUAUAUCCCCGCAUUCUAUGCCACUCCUCCGACAGCUUUGAAGACCAUUUCAGGCCCCUGGUCACUCGCUAUAAGAGAGAGCCUAUUUCUAUUUCUCUGGCUAGUCUCAUGGGCCUAGGGGUUGCAGCAGGAGUGGGAAUGGGAGUAGGUUCCAUGGUGCAUACUUCCAGCCAAAUUGCCUACCUACAGGCUGCCAUUGAUCAAGACCUUAAGGCAUUAGAAACCUCUAUCACUGCCUUAUAGGACUCUCUGACCUCCCUAGCUGAGGUGGUCCUCCAGAAUAGAAGGGACUUAGAUCUCCUGUUUAUGAAAGAGGGUGGCCUAUGCGCCGCUCUUGGGGAAGAAUGUUGCUUUUAUGCAGACCACUCUGGAAUGGUCCAGGAAUCCAUGGCCUGGAGGCUCGCCAACAAGAAAGAGAGGCUCAGAGAGGAUGGUUCCAAUCUUGGUUUUCUCAGUCACCUUGGCUGACAACUCUUUUGUCAGCGCUUGUGGGACCCAUACUUUUUCUCCUCCUGCUUUUGACUAUAGGACCCUGUAUUUUAAAUAAGUUGAUAGCCUUUGUACAAGAUAGAAUAAGACAGAUCAAGUUAAUGGUAAUAAGGCAACAAUAUGAAGCAUUACACUCAGAUGAUCUUCACAAUCUCUAAGGUUAGAGAUACCCACAAGAAGAAGUGGGGAAUGAAGAGAUCCAGAGCUGAAAGAGUUAAAUUGUGUGAAGCUUCUGCUAACUUGCUUUUCUGUAACUGCUCUGCUGCUUUGCAGGUUGAACCUAGAGAAGUAGGAGCAUGGCCUUCCCCUUGUGUUCUCCUCCAUUCCCCCAAGGCCUUACAUCCUGAGCACUUUCCCUGCUUAAGAGAUGUCCUUGAAUUAUGCUUGUGGUUAGCAAAGAAGAGAACUGUUUUGUCCUAGUUUCACAGCCGCCCAGCUACACCCGGACGAUAAGAUAUGGCUAACUGAAAAAUGUAAACUGUGCAGAGCAUACCAGAAAUUGUAACUGUGUAAAGAGGUCACUGUGAUUGUGGCUUUGUACCGAGCCUUUGUCUAAAAAAUGUAUAAAAACCAUAUGCUCCCUUUGAUCAGGGCUCUCAGCCUCUGCCUGAUCUUCGGGUAUGUUGCAGAGCCCAGCAUGCUGGAACAAUAAAGCCCGUGUUGUUGCAGAAA